Molecule: small RNA, 609 nt
Filed under: Eudorina sp. no.China4
Lineage: Eukaryota; Viridiplantae; Chlorophyta; Chlorophyceae; Chlamydomonadales; Volvocaceae
Description: eukaryotic LSU rRNA
Rfam family: 5.8S ribosomal RNA (bases 213-366)
Source: RNAcentral
AAUCUAUAUCAAUCCACACUUGUGAAUCAAUUUGUCGGCCACCGGUAAAACGGUUGAGGAUUGUAAGAUGGAAACGUCAUACAGUUACUCAGGCGUUGGCGUGCAUGCAUAUGCACGACGGCGUCGGUCUUUUACUAACCAAUCAACACCAAACCAACUAAAAUUAAAAAAAGAGGGCCCAGCUUAGAGCUGUGACCCUCACCAACCAAGACAACUCUCAACAACGGAUAUCUUGGCUCUCAGAUCGAUGAAGAACGCAGCGAAAUGCGAUUCGUAGUGUGAAUUGCAGAAAUACGUGAAUCAUCGAAUUUUUGAACGCAAAUUGCGCUCGAGGCUUCGGCCAAGAGCAUGUCUGCCUCAGCGUCGGGUUAAUACUCACUCUGUCUUACACAUGGAGUGGAUCUGGCUUUCUCGGAUAAUUAAGAAUUGUCCGGGUUAGCUGAAGUAUACAGAUGUCAAACCGUGGACCGUAUAACGGGCCUCUACUGGGUAGGCAGUAAAAUGCUAAAUGCUUUAGUGGAUGGCUUCGGGUACUGUGUUUGGCUUAAACCAGGAGUAUGACUAAUGUCGUACAUAAACCCCUCAUUUUCGACCUGAGCUCAGGCAAGA